This 207-nucleotide ribosomal RNA is filed under the name uncultured delta proteobacterium. Its description in RNAcentral is "partial 16S ribosomal RNA". It matches the Rfam family "Bacterial small subunit ribosomal RNA", at positions 568 to 774 of the family's 1533-position model. Lineage: Bacteria; Deltaproteobacteria. The record is from RNAcentral.
CGCGUAGGCGGUCUUUUAAGUCAGAUGUGAAAGCCCGGGGCUUAACCCCGGAAAUGCAUUUGAAACUAAGGGACUUGAGUAUGGGAGAGGGAAGUGGAAUUCCUGGUGUAGAGGUGAAAUUCGUAGAUAUCAGGAGGAACACCGGUGGCGAAGGCGACUUCCUGGACCAAUACUGACGCUGAAGCGCGAAGGCGUGGGGAGCAAACA